This 559-nucleotide long non-coding RNA is filed under the name Vulpes vulpes (red fox). Its description in RNAcentral is "lncRNA (ENSVVUG00000026600.1)". The record is from RNAcentral. Lineage: Eukaryota; Metazoa; Chordata; Mammalia; Carnivora; Canidae.
GGGGGGAGGGGGGGAGCAAGGAACUACAUUACCCAGAAUCCCUGCGGCAGAACCUGGGCCGGCCCCUGGCUUCCAAGCCAACUGGCAGUCUGAACUGAUAAGCCAAUCAGGGUAUGAGACUGAGGCUGGUGUUCUCAUCGGCUCCUCAGAGAAACUGAAGGUGAUGGUCAAGAAGGGUUAGAACAUCACCAAACAACAUAGCCCAGCUCCAAAGCUCUGUUCAGCACCCAUGAUUUGCCAGCUUGGAUCCAGUUUCAGCAACCUGGAAAUCACCUAUUCCAGAGACUGUAUCUAUAAAAUGCAGCCUGGAUCCCUGAGUCACUGCUUGGAAGAGAACUUCUUUGGAGAGCCAAUGGACCCAGAACAGACUUUUCAGGAACCAAAAAUAAACAUUUGUGUAUUAAACCACUGAAAUCUCCGAGAUAGUUUGUUACUGCAGCAUAGCCUCACUUAACCUGACUAAUACACCAUGUGCUCCAGAUCUACUAGUUGGGAUGGAGUUACUAACCCACAUUGGACUACGACAGUGUGAGGAAUAAACUGCCAUUGGGUUAAGUCA